CAGCAUUGCACAAGGAGAGUGUAUGCAAUCGUAUCAGAUGUAUUUUUUUUUGUUUGUUUGUUGCUUUUUUUUUUUUUCAAUUAAAUUGCUUCUGUUAAUGGCAAUUACUAAUGGCUAUUGUUUUAGCUAAUAAAACUGGUUUCUUUUUCCAGUUUACCUGAUAUACACUUAAUUGAAAUUAAAUUAAUAAAUAAAGCACCUUGAAAUGGAACAGUAUUGUACCAGUGCUGUGCUAUCAUUGUUUUCAAAGAAAUUAUGCAAUAAUUACUGUUUUAUUCCACCUGCAGCAUCUAAUGAAGAAUUACAUAUAUGCACACAAAUAUGGCCAUGCAAAAAUAAAGGACCAUCAGGUUCACUGUUUCUCAAGGAGAGCAGCACCCAGCUUUGCAAAGGGCUCCACAGUGACAACUGACUUAUUUAAUAGCCAGCGGUGGCAAAGCUCUGAACAAAAUAAGGUUCAGCAUGGGCAUGAGACCUGUGGUUUCGAUCAGCUGGAGACAUUUGCACGUGUGAAGAAGGGUGACAGAAGGUGGGCAGCUGGAUCUACUGGUUCAUCUCAAGCUCAUCUCCAACAUAAAUGACUACACCCUAUUUCUUUUUGUGCAACUCCUCUGGAAAAUUACUUUAAUAAAAUACAUGUGAAAAUAUUAAGUAGGAACAACUGUGAAAAUCAAAUGGAUCUACUUAUGACAACCAAGAAAAUGAAUAAGCAAUUCAUAGUCUAUGAAACUGUAAGGCAACGGAAACGUCCUUGAUUUGAUCAAGUAAAGGCAAACUCAUUUCAUAGUAUCUCUAGACUUUGACUACCAGUGAAGCAGAGCUCUCUUAUCUUUAGAACAAAGAAAGAGAACAAAAUUCAAACAGGAUUAUAUUUUAAGACAUAAAACUAUCACUCUGUUGACAACUACUGAUACCUGCUGUCAAUAUAAAAGAGGGAAAGGAAAAUUACUUAGUGUAGUAGUUUGAAUGGAUGAUUUCUCAGUGUCAAAGAUUUAAUAAAACUACGUAGAAAAACAUAAAUAUUUUAAAUCUUCUUUUAAGAAUAACAUUUUCUCUCUCUUUUUUUUUUUUUUUUAACCAGAAUUAAUCAUUUUCUCAUUUGCUGCUCAAUGUUUUAUCCAUACAUAAAAAUAUUGAUAUCUGUGCAGUGCAUCAUAGCCAAACCCUACAGUAAAUCAUUCACAGUCCCAAAUACAAGUAAAUGGCAAGCUACCACUUAAACAACUCUUCUGCUAAGCAUCUCCUCAUUGUGCAAAGAGUCACAAAAUAGAGUAACUCUGCUAAAAUAAAGUUCCCUCAUAGCUCUACAGCUGUGAAACAGUAGUUCCAUUUAGCAUUUCACAUCUGAUCAGCAGAACAGGCUUCAGGUCAGGCUCCAGCAACACCUUUCAUCUUGAACUCUGUCAGGCAUGUUAACUAGGACUCCUUUUUUGGGUUUACAAGACAAAAUUGGUAUGAUUACUGUUCCACAUUCAUUUUUUUUUUUUCUUUAGAAAAGCUUUUCUAGUUCAACUUUUCCUUCAUGUUGAGGGAACUGAUAAAACUUUGUAGAUGUGAUAGUCUAAGGAGGCCUAAGUAAUGGUUCAUGACAGAGUGUAUGGAUUUUUACCACAGCGUUUAUAGAUCUCUUGGAAAAGGGAAGACCUUGUCUUACAGGGAAUCCUCCACAGCUCUAAUCCAUGCUGUACAAGAUACAAUAGUGCAGGAACUGCACUGCUAAGCAAGCCCAACAGCACAGGACAUGAAACACAGAGUGUAGAGGCAGCUAACAACAACAUUGGGCAGUGGAAACAUUAGCUGAAAAAAUGCCACAAGUAUUUAUAAUGCAUUGCUACCUAUGCUAAGUGAAUUCAUGAUAGCUUAAUUGCAUGCUUUAUUCUCUUUUUUUUUGUUUGUUUGUUUUUGUUUUGUUUUAUAUUGUAUUGGCACAGAUAUAUUGGCUCAAAUAAAAAGCAUUUAUUUUAACUG
Molecule: long non-coding RNA, 1968 nt
Organism: Cairina moschata (Muscovy duck)
Lineage: Eukaryota; Metazoa; Chordata; Aves; Anseriformes; Anatidae
Source: Ensembl